RNAcentral lists this ribosomal RNA (398 nucleotides) under Leiobunum royali. Its description in RNAcentral is "partial 12S ribosomal RNA". It matches the Rfam family "Microsporidia small subunit ribosomal RNA", at positions 765 to 1311 of the family's 1311-position model. The record is from RNAcentral. Lineage: Eukaryota; Metazoa; Arthropoda; Arachnida; Opiliones; Sclerosomatidae.
AUUAGGUUUAAAAUCAAAUAAUUUGGCGGUAUCUUAUCCUAAUAGAGGAACUUGAUCUUUAAUCGAUAAUCCCCGUCUGAUCUUACUUGUAUUAACGUUUGUAUACCGUUGUUGUUAGAUUACCUUAAAUAGCUAGCCAGUUUUCUUAAUAGAAUUACUUAGGGUUGUUUUGUUACUUCAAAUCAAGGUGCAGUUUAUGUAUAAGUUGAGUUGAGUUACUUUGGGUUAGAUUUGGAUUAUAAAAUGAAAUUUUAUUUGAAAUAGGAUUUAUUAGUAAGUUUUUAUUAAUUAGAUUAGCUGAAAAGGGGUCUGAGAUAUGUACAAAUCGCCCGUCACUCUGGUUUUAACAUCAGAUAAGUCGUAACAAAGUAGGUGUAAGGGAACUUGUACCUAGAUGC